CACGGAGUUAGCCGAUGCUUUUUCUUCGGAUACACGCAGUCCGGGACACGUCCCGGGUUUUGUUCUCCGACAAAAGAGGUUUACAACCCAUAGGGCCGUCUUCCCUCACGCGGCUUGGCUGGUUCAGGAUCUCUCCCAUUGACCAAUAUUCCUCACUGCUGCCUCCCGUAGGAAUCUGGUCCGUGUCUCAGUACCAGUGUGGGGGACCUUCCUCUCAGAACCCCUACGCAUCGUCGCCACGGUGGGCCGUUACCCCGCCGUCAAGCUAAUGCGCCGCAUGCCCAUCCUCUUCCGAUGAAUCUUUCCUCGAUCUCGGAUGCCCGAAACCGAUAUACGCGGGAUUAGCCUCCCUUUCGGAAGGUUGUCCCCCUGAAGAGGGCAGGUUGCAUACGUGUUACUCACCCGUGCGCCGGUCGCCGGCAAGGAAAGCAAGCUUCCCUCCCGAUGCCCCUCGACUUGCAUGUGUUAAGCCUGCCGCUAGCGUUCAUCCUGAGCCAGGAUCAAACUC
This 508-nucleotide ribosomal RNA is filed under the name uncultured Bacteroidales bacterium. RNAcentral's name for it is "partial 16S ribosomal RNA". Lineage: Bacteria; Pseudomonadati; Bacteroidota; Bacteroidia; Bacteroidales. The record is from RNAcentral.